UGUUCUUCCUAACCACUUAUUAUAACUUGUUUGACGUUUGUCUGUAAUACUCAUAAAAUAGAGACAUUUGAGUUAAGUUAGGGAGGGGAAACUUUUAACUGCUCAUUCAGUACACCAUCUCUUCACUUAACGCUAAUUAACAUUUCAUGAUGAAAGUUCAUGAAGGAGCUAGUUAAGAGGGUCCGAGUUGGGAGGCUUUCCUGAAAGAAAAUAAUUUUUGAAUAGCCUUUUUUGUUGUGUCCCAUAAGUGGAAAGAAG
RNAcentral lists this long non-coding RNA (258 nucleotides) under Bos taurus (domestic cattle). Its description in RNAcentral is "long non-coding RNA NONBTAT016443". Lineage: Eukaryota; Metazoa; Chordata; Mammalia; Artiodactyla; Bovidae. The record is from RNAcentral.